RNAcentral lists this small RNA (27 nucleotides) under Bombyx mori (domestic silkworm). RNAcentral's name for it is "ovarian small RNA-36015". The record is from RNAcentral. Lineage: Eukaryota; Metazoa; Arthropoda; Insecta; Lepidoptera; Bombycidae.
UGUUACUACUAGACUUCCGGAGGUAUC